UUUUUUUUUUUCGUAGACCAAGUCUUGAUUUUUAUUACUUAAAAAAGUCGCCCAUUUACUUGCUUUCUGACUCUGUGCUUGUGCCUUCAACACUUCACGACGAUUUCCUGCUCCUCAAUAAGGAAAGCCGACUUGAUCCUGUCAUGGACACACUUGGCGCACAUGGAGUCACCAUAGGCCCUGCUGACCUGCUUCUUUGUCUUAGACGAUCUCAGAAGGACUUUGGGUCUCACAGCACGAACCCCUCGCAGUCUGCCUGGGCACACGCCACACGCGGAUUUAGGUGCUUUCCCAACCUUCUGGGUGUAAAGGUAAACGAUCCUGUUGCCAGGGGUUCGAGACAGCCUAGUUUGUUAGAGGCUGUAUUGUAGGAAAGCCUACGACGGUAUGUCAAACGCUGGACCAUCCUGAGUGCCCCUAAGCACCGUCCCCGGAAGAGGAAAAAAAAAGGAAAUAGACUGUUUUUUAAAUUACUGUCACCUUGCCUCCUAUUAUUACUAAGUCCCAA
RNAcentral lists this long non-coding RNA (508 nucleotides) under Rattus norvegicus (Norway rat). Its description in RNAcentral is "long non-coding RNA NONRATT006756". Lineage: Eukaryota; Metazoa; Chordata; Mammalia; Rodentia; Muridae. The record is from RNAcentral.